GUCAUCCCUACACUGUUACCACAAAAUGACCCAGCCAGAUAUAAACUUCACAGAUCAUUUCAGCCUUUUAUUCAGUGGGUCCAUGGGAAUGGACCCACUCUUCUGGUGGAAAAUGAGCCUCUGAACAAAGGAGGACACUGGGCUUAUAUAGAUUAUACUGAGAGGUGCCUUAAAUAAUGAGCAUGUCAGCUUGGGCACUCAGGAAUUUUGGGUCUGUCUUACUGGGCAAAAUGGGAGGGGUUCUGGGGUCAGCAGUCAGUCUCUGGGAUUUAUCUUACUGGGCCCAAUGAAAGGUUUGGGGUCACUGUAGUAUCUGGAAAGGAUUCACUUAGGAAAGGAUCAAUGCUUUGGCCUCUUCCUGGAGACUGCCUUUCUAGGUUGAUGGACACCUCCUCCCCAGGGUUUGUUUUAUCACCAGCAAAGAAUGUAUUGGGAAAGAUUCAAUGCUCUCAAUGUAUGGCUUUCUCACUCCCCUUUUCCCAGUUCUCACUAUUUUUGGAGUUUGUCAUCUUCCAUAUCUAAUAAAUACCGCAUUAGGAAUAUUUAUGGCCUUUUGUUUUCCAAUGAGAGGUAUUUCUUCACUUUGCUUUUACUUUAAACAUAGAUACUAUAAAUAUAAUAAAAC
RNAcentral lists this long non-coding RNA (625 nucleotides) under Marmota monax (woodchuck). Lineage: Eukaryota; Metazoa; Chordata; Mammalia; Rodentia; Sciuridae. The record is from RNAcentral.